GGGGAUGUGUUGGAAUUGGCAGACAAGCAUGACUUAGGAUCAUGUGCCGCAAGGCGUGUGGGUUCGACUCCCACCAUCCCCACCA
RNAcentral lists this transfer RNA (85 nucleotides) under Pseudomonadota bacterium. Its description in RNAcentral is "tRNA-Leu". It matches the Rfam family "tRNA". From Rfam's summary of the family: Transfer RNA (tRNA) molecules are approximately 80 nucleotides in length. Lineage: Bacteria; Pseudomonadati; Pseudomonadota. RNAcentral also lists the same sequence under 1 other name. The record is from RNAcentral.